CAUAUAUGAAAACAUCACAUUGAGGCCUGGAUCAGUGGCUCACACCUGUCAUUCCAGCACUUGGGGAGACCAAGAUUGUGCCACUGCACUCCAGCCUGGAUGACAGAGUGAGGCUCUGUCUCAAGCCAGAAACAAAACAAAACGAAACCACCACAUCACAUUGAACCUCGUGAAUGCAUAAAACCACAGUUUGUCAAUUAAAACGGGGGGUGUUUCUCUUCCUUCUGCCUCUGUGGGAUCCUUCCAGCUGGUGGAGGGGUGGCCAUCGACUGGAUAUUGGCCUCCAGAGAUGUCCAUGUUCCCAUCCUCAGAACCUGUGACUGUGUGGCCUUACGUGGCAAAAGUGCUUUGUAUUAAUAGAUA
RNAcentral lists this long non-coding RNA (363 nucleotides) under Homo sapiens (human). RNAcentral describes it as "non-protein coding lnc-FGF3-5:1". Lineage: Eukaryota; Metazoa; Chordata; Mammalia; Primates; Hominidae. The record is from RNAcentral.